RNAcentral lists this ribosomal RNA (502 nucleotides) under uncultured microorganism. Its description in RNAcentral is "bacterial SSU rRNA". It matches the Rfam family "Bacterial small subunit ribosomal RNA", at positions 9 to 492 of the family's 1533-position model. The record is from RNAcentral.
GAGUUUGAUCUUGGCUCAGGAUGAACGCUGGCGGCGUGCCUAAUACAUGCAAGUCGAGCGAACGGACGAGAAGCUUGCUUCUCUGAUGUUAGCGGCGGACGGGUGAGUAACACGUGGAUAACCUACCUAUAAGACUGGGAUAACUUCGGGAAACCGGAGCUAAUACCGGAUAAUAUUUUGAACCGCAUGGUUCAAAAGUGAAAGACGGUCUUGCUGUCACUUAUAGAUGGAUCCGCGCUGCAUUAGCUAGUUGGUUAAGGUAACGGCUUACCAAGGCAACGAUGCAUAGCCGACCUGAGAGGGUGAUCGGCCACACUGGAACUGAGACACGGUCCAGACUCCUACGGGAGGCAGCAGUAGGGAAUCUUCCGCAAUGGGCGAAAGCCUGACGGAGCAACGCCGCGUGAGUGAUGAAGGUCUUCGGAUCGUAAAACUCUGUUAUUAGGGAAGAACAUAUGUGUAAGUAACUGUGCACAUCUUGACGGUACCUAAUCAGAAAGCC